CACACCGCCCGUCGCUACUACCGAUUGAAUGGCUCAGUGAGGCCUUCGGACUGGCCCAGGGAGGUCGGCAACGACCACCCAGGGCCGGAAAGUUGGUCAAACUUGGUCAUUUAGAGGAAGUAAAAGUCGUAACAAGGUUUCCGUAGGUGAACCUGCGGAAGGAUCAUUAACAGAGAUCGGCGCCGCCCCUCACCGGGCGCGCGCACCUUCCAACCCCUUGAAUCGUCACACCCGACCCGGUCGCUCCCCCCGCUCGCGGGGGGCGCUCCAGUCCAACUCGCGUCUCGAAACGUUGCCGUCUGAGUCGACACGACAAAUCAAUCAAAACUUUCAACAACGGAUCUCUUGGUUCUGGCAUCGAUGAAGAACGCAGCGAAAUGCGAUAAGUAAUGUGAAUUGCAGAAUUCAGUGAAUCAUCGAAUCUUUGAACGCACAUUGCGCCCCCUGGCAGUCCGGGGGGCACAUCUGUUCGAGCGUCAUUACAACCCUCAAGCUCUGCUUGGUCUUGGGCGUCCCGUCCCCGCCUCGCGCGGCGGACGCGCCUCAAACUCCUCGGCGGUCCGCACCGGCUUCGAGCGUAGCAAUCGCACCUCGCUCACGGAGUCCGGCUCGGGUCCUGCCGCAUGACGACACACCGUUUCAUUUCGAAAGGUUGACCUCGGAUCAGAUGGGGAUACCCGCUGAACUUAAGCAUAUCAAUAAGCGGAGGAAAAGAAACCAACAGGGAUUGCCUCAGUAACGGCGAGUGAAGCGGCAACAGCUCAAAUUUGAAAUCUGGCGCCUUCGGCGUCCGAGUUGUAAUUUGCAGAGGAUGCUUCGGCGUCGGCACCGGUCUAAGUUCCUUGGAACAGGACGUCACAGAGGGUGAGAAUCCCGUACGUGGCCGGCCGCCGUCGCCGUGUGAAGCUCCUUCGACGAGUCGAGUUGUUUGGGAAUGCAGCUCUAAAUGGGAGGUAAAUUUCUUCUAAAGCUAAAUACCGGCCAGAGACCGAUAGCGCACAAGUAGAGUGAUCGAAAGAUGAAAAGCACUUUGGAAAGAGAGUUAAACAGCACGUGAAAUUGUUGAAAGGGAAGCGGUUGCCACCAGACUUGACCGCGGGCGCUCAACCGGGCUUCUGCCCGGUGCACUCGUCCGCGGGCAGGCCAGCAUCAGUUCGGGCGGUCGGAUAAAGGCCUCGGGAAUGUGGCUCCCCUCGGGGAGUGUUAUAGCCCGGGGCGUAAUACGGCCAGCCUGGACUGAGGUCCGCGCUUCGGCUAGGAUGCUGGCGUAAUGGUUGCAACCGGCCCGUCUUGAAACACGGACCAAGGAGUCUAACAUCUAUGCGAGUGUUUGGGUGUCAAACCCAUACGCGUAAUGAAAGUGAACGGAGGUGGGAGCCGCAAGGCGCACCAUCGACCGAUCCUGAUGUCUUCGGAUGGAUUUGAGUAUGAGCAUGGCUGUUGGGACCCGAAAGAUAGUGAUCUAUACCUGAAUAGGGUGAAGCCAGAGGAAACUCUGGUGGAGGCUCGCAGCGGUUCUGACGUGCAAAUCGAUCGUCAAAUUUGGGUAUAGGGGCGAAAGACUAAUCGAACC
Molecule: ribosomal RNA, 1573 nt
Filed under: Myrmaecium rubricosum
Lineage: Eukaryota; Fungi; Ascomycota; Dothideomycetes; Valsariales; Valsariaceae
Description: eukaryotic LSU rRNA
Rfam family: Eukaryotic large subunit ribosomal RNA (bases 654-1573)
Source: RNAcentral